GACUGCUCAGGUGGCCUAGUGGUUAGAGCAUCUGCUUCGGAUGUGGAAGGUCAUGGAUUUGAUCCCCAGUUGAGUCA
Potamilus streckersoni is the source of this 77-nucleotide non-coding RNA. The record is from the annotation of a GenBank genome assembly. NCBI's taxonomy places the organism in Eukaryota, Metazoa, Mollusca, Bivalvia, Unionida, Unionidae.